Molecule: RNA transcript, 2355 nt
Organism: Beta vulgaris subsp. vulgaris (sugar beet)
Lineage: Eukaryota; Viridiplantae; Streptophyta; Magnoliopsida; Caryophyllales; Amaranthaceae
Gene name: probable phospholipid-transporting ATPase 4
Exons: 7
Source: RefSeq, a predicted model, not a curated record
AAGCAUUUGUGAAUGAGUGCUCCACUGCUCCCCCAAGGCCCAAUAUCUCGUCUUUCUGGUCUUAUCUCCCUCCCUUAACUGGUUUCUCUUUCUCUCAUCCCCUCCUCAUCUCCUUCCAUACUCAACCACCAAAACGCUAACUACUCCAUUUCUACCCUCCUUCUCUCCAUCUCCUUAUCGUUUGAUUUUCAUGCUAAAAUCCCUAAUACGUUCGUAAGAAGCUCUGAAUUCGAACGGAUCCCCCAUUUCAAGGGUUUCCAGUUCAAUUUUCACUCGCAUCUCACCCAUUCUUCACAAAAACAACUUUGUGACCUUCGCAUCUGGGUUUGUCCUGAAUUGGCCUUACAUCCACAAUCAAUCCGUGGCCUUUCUUCUUUACAAUCACUUUUAAUUGGGGGCUGUCCACACCUGGAGACAAGAUGUUGGAAACUAGACGAUCUUGAUGUCUCAUCACGAGUUCUUCAGCGCCGUUCUUCAGCACCACGGUAGGAGGCAGCGACGAUGGUGGUUCUUCAGCAUAGCUAUCUCUCUCAUCCUUUUGUGUGAGUUCUUCAGCAUCGUUCAUUCAGGGAAUUUGGUUUUGAAUUUGUCAAAAGAACCCAAUCAACUGUUGUUCGUGAGAGAUAUCCUAACCAUGGACAACCUGUUGAAAGGGAGUAUAAAAUUCUUACUCUUUUAGAUUUCCAAGCAAGAGAAAACGGAUGUCUGUAAUAGUGCGUGAUGAGGACAGCCAUAUCCUUCUCUUUUGUUAAGGAGCAGACAAGUAUAUGUGUCUAUGGUCUUUUCUCCAUCGUUUCUUGGCAUUGCAAAUGUAUCAAUCGAAUGAAAUUAUCUCAGCUUCAUAUUAAUUUAAUUAGCUUUGUUGAUCUAGCUAUUCAUAUGAGAGUUGACACUGCGUUUUUUAUAUCUUAUUUGGUCUUACAUCAACUUGAAGAUUAGAAGCCCUCUUAUUGACCUUUCAUGAUUCUGUGGGUCUACAGCAUAAUUUUUGAUCGGCUCCCACAAAAUGGAAAAACGUAUCUGGAAGACACCACAAAGCAUCUGAAUGAAUAUGGAGAUAAUGGGUUGCGUACAUUGGCCCUCGCUUAUAAAAAGCUUGAAGAGUCUGAAUUCUCUGAUUGGAACAAUGAAUUUCUGAAAGCUAAGAGCUCGAUUGGGAGUGAUAGGGACGUAAAUCUAGAGCGGGUUUCAGAUAUGAUGGAGAGAGACUUAAUUCUCGUAGGUGCAACAGCUGUUGAAGAUAAGCUGCAGAAAGGGUUUGUUUAGCAGCUAUGCGAUUUGGAUUUUUCUGAAGAUUUGGUGUAAAAAUUGAUUAUGACAGGUGGAUGUUCUUGUCUAUACAUCAGAUAUUUAUGUUAAACCUUCAGAUAGAUAACCAAGGUCUAAUGGAGGUAGAAAACAAGAAUAUGGAUCUGUCAUAGUUGUACCACAGAAGACUUCAGCUGGUGGUGCCUUUUAUUACAAUUUUUUUGUCUUAUUGCUUGUUACAUGGUUGACUUCAUAAAUCGGACGUAGCUGAUACUUCAGUUUUGGCAGAUUGACAAGGCAAUGAUGGAGUGAAACGAAUAGCAAAUCCUAUUGAAAUUUUGCCACUGGUCAAGAAGCUGCAGGUGUGAAAGUAUUUGUUGCUUGCUUUAUUUAUACAAUCAAUUUUCAAUUAUUUGCAGCAUAUGAACUAGAGUUACCAUCUAACUCAAUUGUGAUACGAUAUUCAUCACCAGGUUUUCUCAACAUGCAUUAUUUAAAAUUUUAAUGAUCCAAAUUGUAAUUGAUAGACUUUGUUUUGUCGUUAUUUUUGAGUCAUAUUCUUGAGGGAGCAACUUGUUACGACUUUCGGGCUCAUAAGCAAUGACAUAGCUGCUCAUUGAACCAUGAAGUAUGUAUUAAAUUUUAUUUGUUCUAAGCCUAUUGUAUUGAAAGAUAAUGCUGAAAGCAACAUGAUGGAUUGAGUUUGAGUAGCCUACUAUAUUAUGAAAUUUAUUUGUGGCUGGAAGAUCAUUGGGAAAAAUUUCUUUUCUGAGCAACUCCUGAUAUUUUAUUUUCUUUGCCAGGGACAAGUAAGUAGGUCGAUAAUAUUCCCACCUACUGCCAGGAGAAUGGAGACACUUAAUGAUUUAAUGGCUGCAAGUGAUGUGAUCUCUCUCCACUGUGCUUUAACAGAUGAGACUGUCCAGAUUAUCAAUGCUGAAUGUUUGCAGAAUAUCAAACCUGGUGCAUAUUUGGUGAACACUGGAAGCAAUCAGCUUUUGGAUGAUUUGCAAUUGUAUUUCUUAUAAUUUGCAAUUGUUGUUUAUUUGUAGUAUUUCUUGUAUUCAAGAACAAAAAUUUUAGAAAUAUAACUUUUUACCUAUAUAA